AGGCAGCGUGUUGUGUCCUUCAGCAAGACAAUUAAGACACAUUGCUCUGUGUCGACACCGGUGCCAAGCUGCUUGGGUCCUAGUGCCCUUCCCUUGGACAACAGCGGUGGCGUGGAGAGGGAAAGACCUGCAGCAUGGGCAACUGCCAGCCUUCCAUCCAACCCUGCCCAGGCCUGCACUCUGGAAACCUUCCAAGGUGCAAAUCCAUGGUCUCAUAAGACCAACGGAUGCCAAUGUUGCCAAGGUCAAUCCAGAGAUGAGUUGAGAUGUUUUGCAUCGCAGGUGAUCCUAUACUGUUGCAAACGGCCAACGGCUCACGAGGAGUCAUCCAGCAGAGAUCCAAACAACCUUCACCACUCAGCUGCUGGGCAGCUGUGACAAUUCAUGCUGGAUAAUUUAAACAUGAAACAGACAGUACGGAUUUACAAUGGAACACAGCAGAAGAGGAACUUGAACUCUCCAUUAAAACAAAUUUUCCACCCGAUGACAGGAUAUACCGGUGGUUCCCUGACUGGCAGUGCUGGGAGUCUAAAUCAGCAAAAGAAUUUUCCAUCCUGGCACAUGCUCACGUGCGAUUUUGAAGGACUCCUUGUGGAAAAAGGAAAUGAUUUUUCACAGAUGCCUCAAGUGUUUCCGCUAGGAAAAGUGUCUUUGAACAUGUACCAGAUUCAACUUGCUACAUGCCCAGCAGUCUUCGUUCAAAUGAAUGGGAGAAAUAAUUUUAAUUCUAUGUAUUUAAGGUAGCAUUGAUUUGCCUUGGUUUUUUUUUAAAUGUAGUUGUGCUUUUAAAUUUCUUUAAUGUAAAAAAAUUUAGUAUAGCGCUGAUA
This is a long non-coding RNA of Hypanus sabinus (Atlantic stingray), 827 nucleotides long. RefSeq lists it as uncharacterized. The transcript is spliced from 3 exons. The record is from RefSeq and is a predicted model, not a curated record. NCBI's taxonomy places the organism in Eukaryota, Metazoa, Chordata, Chondrichthyes, Myliobatiformes, Dasyatidae.